RNAcentral lists this long non-coding RNA (439 nucleotides) under Solanum tuberosum (potato). Its description in RNAcentral is "long non-coding RNA (STUB_LNC003908)". Lineage: Eukaryota; Viridiplantae; Streptophyta; Magnoliopsida; Solanales; Solanaceae. The record is from RNAcentral.
CAUACUGAUACAUAUAUUACAUAUACACAACUUCACACAUUUUACUGGACCUUUAAAUCAUGAAGCAGUACAUUCUUAAAAGUUGUCAAAUUGCAAGAGAUCUCACCUCAUCCACUUUCAAUGUCUUCUUCAUACUGAUACAUAUAUUUCAUAUACACAACUUCACACAUUUUACUGGACCUUUAAAUCAUGAAGCAGUACAUUCUUAAAAGUUGUCAAAUUGCAAGAGAUCUCACCUCAUCCACUUUCAAUGUCUUCUUCAUACUGAUACAUAUAUUUCAUAUACACAACUUCACACAUUUUACUGGACCUUUAACUCAUGAAGCAAUACAUUCUUAAAGUUGUCAAAUUGCAAGAGAUCUCACCUCAUCCACUUUCAAGAGGUCUUCUUCAUACUUAUACGCAUGUUUCAUACACACAACUUCACACAUUUUACUGG